This 860-nucleotide long non-coding RNA is filed under the name Neodiprion lecontei (redheaded pine sawfly). Its description in RNAcentral is "uncharacterized LOC124293982". The record is from RNAcentral. Lineage: Eukaryota; Metazoa; Arthropoda; Insecta; Hymenoptera; Diprionidae.
CUUAAUGUAUAAUAAAAAAUUGUUGCCGAUUUGAGGAGAAUGAAAUAACGCUAUACCAUUAAGAGAAGAAGUCGGGAGGAGAAGUUGUGGUGAAUUAAUCGUUAUUUCUGCUUAGUAGAUUGAAACUUUUGUUAUAAUCUUGUGUCAAUUAAGGGGUUAGGUGGGUUUCAAAAUUUCAAAAAAUCGAAUUUUUUUUUUUUUUUGCUUAUCUUAUAAUUGAAUAUGUUGAGAAUAUUCCUUUAAAAUUUUAAAACGAUCCGAGUCAUAUUCUAAGAGAUAUAGCCUUUGGAUGUUUCACCCAUCAGGCUAUAACCGAGCGUGACGCAGGUAUAUGGAGGCAGAUAUAUCGAGGCAGCUGCUUAGCUAUUGUUCGUUUAUUUUUGUGAUGCGAAUACUAGGCUUAGGACUUGCCGGAUGUAAAAAAUUCUGUGGUUUGAUGGAUAUAAGUUCCUCGUUCUUGAAUGCAUCAACGUACAAUUUUUACGUUGAUAAAAUACAUGAGUGCGUCAUAACUGUUGCCGAAUCAAUUUUGUUGUCUGCUGCAAAUCAAGAAAAAAAAUUAACGUGUGAUGAAAAUAAUGUUGAAGAUACGACAGAUGUUACCGUGUCAGGUGAUGGCACGUGGAAAAAACAUGGGUUUGCAUCAUUAUACGGUAUGAAUCUGUCAUGAGUUAUCCUGACUACGCCGAGAGAACUUUUUUUUGAGGGGUCAUAGCAGACGACGUGUCCACGCCUUAAUUUUCAAUAUUUUUCAAUGAAAAUUUCACAAACUACUUAUAAAAUAUGUAUCUUUUAUGUGUUAAAUUGAUGGAAUGAAAUAUUCUGUUGAUUAAGUAAAAAAAAAAAUUCAUAAAAAUGUA